This 930-nucleotide long non-coding RNA is filed under the name Mus caroli (Ryukyu mouse). Its description in RNAcentral is "predicted gene 42765 (MGP_CAROLIEiJ_G0003644.1)". The record is from RNAcentral. Lineage: Eukaryota; Metazoa; Chordata; Mammalia; Rodentia; Muridae.
GGUGGAGAACACAGGUGCGCUCCUGGAAGUCAGAUGCUUAAGAGGAAGACUGAAAAGCUCAUUGUAGUAGAAAGAUAGAAGUCGAAGAAGCCUAGAAAGAAGAGAUGAGGGCUGGAGAGCUGGCUGAGCCGGCAAGUGUCUGCAGAGCAAGCGUGAGCGAUUGAGUUUGAGUCUCAGAAGCCAGACAUGGUGGCAUGUGCUUUGUAAUCCCAGCUCUGGGGAGAUGGAGACAGGCAGAUCCCUGGAGCUUGCUGGACAGCUAGCCCAUACCUAUGGGUAACUCCCAGAUCAAUGAAAGACAAACCAGGUUUCUUUCUUCUUCAAAACAAAAGAGAACACAUGCCUUUACUCUCCCUUUAGUAGUGGGAACAGACAUGAGUGGUGCUCUUGUUCCCCAUGUUGACUGGAUGUUCCAUGCACUUUGCUUUCCUGAUUUAAUCUUGUAAUCUUGAACAUCAUCAAAUUUCUAAGGUUCUCCAUGGAGGCUCCAGCUACUCAAGACAGCAUCCUUCUGGUGGGUGAAUCAGCACCAAUGUUACCUGAACCAUCAUGAUGCAAGUAGAAUGACCAAGUCAGCCUGAUUUCUUCAUUUUGAACCACAGCCUCAGUUGAGCACCUUGAUCAUUUGAAGUCCUUAUUCAUAUCUUCAGCUGCUUCUCAGCCAAUGAUCUCCUCCGGCUGGGGUGUCACCUUUACUGAAGGAGCAGGACCUUCUUCAGUAUCAUCAUGCCAUGUUGGAGUUUCUGUCCCCCUGCUCCUGUCCAUCUUAUCUGAAGUUGUGCAAGUCUAGAGACAGAUGUAGAGUGGGCACUGAGCCACUACAUCCUCCACUAUGUCUUCAUUAGGCAUGGUACCCAACACCCCCUACCUAAUCUAUUCCUCUUCUCCAUGGCCCCAAAGAUAGAAGCCUUUUGGCAGGAGCUACCCAAA